RNA transcript from Chinchilla lanigera (long-tailed chinchilla), 2246 nucleotides. RefSeq lists it as uncharacterized. The record is from RefSeq and is a predicted model, not a curated record. The transcript has 3 exons. Lineage: Eukaryota; Metazoa; Chordata; Mammalia; Rodentia; Chinchillidae.
UCUGCAAAAACAACCAGCCGUGUUAAAUUACUCAUGUUUAUUUAUAACAGACCUUCAGCCAAUACAGUACAAAACUUACAGUAGUAUAUCUCCAUUACACAAAUAUUUACUUACAAUAUAUUACAUAUACAAAAUGCUUUGCAGUAAGUCUCAAAAGCUAGUUUAACUCCCCUUAAGAUAGGAGAAAAACUCUUAAAAAAACAGGGAGGGGGGGACCAGGGAAAGAGGGGAGGUGAGGGGGCCAGGGCCAAAGGAAACACGGAACAGGCUACAGAGGAAACCCUGGGAGAGGAAGAAGAGAGGUGGUAUUGCACUUGCUUCUGUGUUCUGUCUCUUUUUUUUUUGUUCUUCAUAACUUCUGAUUAAAAAUAUAUCUAUGUAUAUAUAUUAUGUACACAAGGAAAGAAGCUGCCAGAAGUAUUACAAAAUCCCACCCGCAGCUUGGACACUGACACACACACAAAAACAAAACGUCUGGAAAAGUGUUUUUUUAGAAAUUCUUUUUUUAUUUAUUUUUUGUGUGAUGUUGGUUUUCAAUAGCAAUAUAAAAGGAAACACCUCUUUUCUCCACAUGGGUUUCAGUGUGUGUGUGUGUGUGUGUGUGUGUGUGUGUGUGUGUGUGUGUGUGGUUUUUUUUCUUUUUUCUUUUUAUGCAAAAGGAGCUGGGAGAGAGCAUAAGGAUGUUUGAGGUUCCAGAGCUGGAAGGCUCUGAAAAGUGGGAUUUUGUACCUAAGACCCUGGUUAAAGUGCAGUGGUGGUCUGGAGCGAGGCAGGACGCCCCCCUCUCCUCCCUAGCACCCGGUCUUGCCCUUCCAGCCUCUGCUCUCGCGGGCACGGAGCUGCCUCAGGGCACAGUCCUUCAUGUUCGGGAGGUGGCAGGUGCCAAGGCUGACUAGAGGAGGGGAUGGGGCACCCUAAGGCUCUGAUACCCCACAAGGGGGACUAGUCCUCAUGAGGUAUCAUGGAAUACACAGCAGACACAGAGUGGGAGGGGAAGGUCUGGGAGCGGGCUCAGGAACCAGAGCAGUUCAGGAGCAGCCAGAUGUUAACCUCGGCUGCGCUGCCGUCGAGCAGACCCCUCCGUCCUCAGGGCCGCUCUCCUCUGAGUUCACCCCCGCGUGCUCUGCCCCUGGCAGCGCGCAGCCUGUUUAUUGCUACAUUGUCAGGGAGGAGCAGUCACCCGAGAGGGCUCUGCCCGCCCGCCUGGUUCUCUGGGGAAACCACGUAACGGGAGGAGAAGGUGGAGGAGGAGGAGUGCUGUCCCUUCCCGGCGGGACACCCCCGACCGACCGGGAGGAGGAAGUAGGAGAGGCCCGCGCGCCAGCAGGAGAGGACGCGGAGCGAGCUGGAAGGGGAGGGGGAGGACCGAGAGUUGUAACUCGUGAGGUGUUAUGUUUGGUUUUCACUUUUUUUCCGUUAAACAUAGAAAAACAGCCUUUGGUUUGAAUCUCAAGGAAGCAGAGAGCCGGGCGGCGGCGGCCGCGGCAGGGAGCUCUGCGGAGGGCCGCCUGCCCCGCGCAGCCGAGGGGUCCCCAGGGAAGCUGCGGCGAGCGGCGGCCCGGGAGGGGCGGCGGGGCGCACGAGCCUGGCUCAUCCCGGGAGGGUUUUUGGUUGCACUGAGAAGACGCACCCUUCUCUUCCUGCCGCGGGUGGCAAGGACAGGGCCCGUGGUCCGGGAACGGCGGCUCCGGCCGGGACGGGAGGAAGAAGGCGGCAGGAGGACGGGGCCGAGAGACCCUCGCCCAGGCAGGAGCCCGGCUUGUCGCGGGGCAGGGACUGGAGGCGCCGCGAGCCCGGGAAGGUCACCGGAGCGCAGAAGGCGGGAGCGCAGCGGGGUGCUAUCCACGCCUGCCCGGGCCCUGGCUCUUAGGCACCUGAGGCUCCCCGUGUGUCGGAGACAGACGGCUGCAGAAAUAGCCGGGGCCCCCGAGAAUAUAAAAUGGGGCACUCCGAGGAGAGGACAGCCGCCGCCGAGCCCGCGGCCGGCCGGACUAGAGUGCUGAUGGGGGCGGGGGGAGCUGCACCGCGGCCUACAGGGAGACCCUAGGGUAGCUUUGGGGAGCUCGGGAAGACCCUCAGUGCCACAGGGCCUAGGGAGAAUGCCUCCAGCUCCUCCUGUCUCCAGAGAGGAAAUGCUUCGUUCGAGAAUAGUGCAAGCUGCCUGCAGCGCGAGGGCGCGGGAGGGUCUCUGAAGCCAUGGCAGCCCAUGUGGAUGGUGAACAUGACAUGGUCCAGGAAGAGGAUGC